Molecule: ribosomal RNA, 301 nt
Filed under: uncultured bacterium
Lineage: Bacteria
Description: partial 16S ribosomal RNA
Rfam family: Bacterial small subunit ribosomal RNA
Source: RNAcentral
CAGUAGCCGCGGGAAUACGUAGGUGGCAAGCGUUGUCCGGAAUUAUUGGGCGUAAAGGGCUCGCAGGCGGUUUCUUAAGUCUGAUGUGAAAGCCCCCGGCUCAACCGGGGAGGGUCAUUGGAAACUGGGAAACUUGAGUGCAGAAGAGGAGAGUGGAAUUCCACGUGUGGCGGUGAAAUGCGUAGAGAUGUGGAGGAACACCAGUGGCGAAGGCGACUCUCUGGUCUGUAACUGACGCUGAGGAGCGAAAGCGUGGGGAGCGAACAGGAUUAGAUACCCCUGUAGUCCCUGUCUCUUAUAC